RNAcentral lists this ribosomal RNA (255 nucleotides) under uncultured bacterium. RNAcentral's name for it is "partial 16S ribosomal RNA". It matches the Rfam family "Bacterial small subunit ribosomal RNA", at positions 524 to 776 of the family's 1533-position model. The record is from RNAcentral.
UACGUAGGGUGCAAGCGUUGUCCGGAAUUAUUGGGCGUAAAGAGCUCGUAGGCGGUCUGUUGCGUCGGCUGUGAAAACCCGAGGCUCAACCUCGGGCCUGCAGCCGAUACGGGCAGACUAGAGUUCGGCAGGGGAGACUGGAAUUCCUGGUGUAGCGGUGAAAUGCGCAGAUAUCAGGAGGAACACCGGUGGCGAAGGCGGAUCUCUGGGCCUUACCUGACGCUGGAGGCGCGAAAAGCGUGGGGAGCAAACAGG